RNAcentral lists this transfer RNA (72 nucleotides) under Toromys grandis (Giant armored tree-rat). Its description in RNAcentral is "tRNA-Asn". It matches the Rfam family "tRNA". Rfam says of the family: Transfer RNA (tRNA) molecules are approximately 80 nucleotides in length. The record is from RNAcentral. Lineage: Eukaryota; Metazoa; Chordata; Mammalia; Rodentia; Echimyidae.
UAGGUUGAAGCCAGUUGUUUAGGGUAUUUAGCUGUUAACUAAAAUUUCAUGGGUUAUGUCCCAUCAGCCUAG